GAAUGGAACUAUAAAAAAGGUUGAAGGGAGCUGGCUUGCCCCUUGCACCACAAGAGGACACAUAGAAGGUGCUGUCUUAUGAGGCAGAGAGCAUGCCCUCCCCAGACAGAGAACCUGUUGGCACCUUGAUCUUGGACUUCCCAGCCUCUAGAACCACAGGUUGUUAAACUGAACCAUCUUGACUGGCCCCAGCCAAGUUUCUUACAGUGGAAAUGGCACAUUAACUAUGCAGCUGUCAUGAGAGAAGUCAGUACUCUUAGAUUCUAACCCAAAAGAAUUCAAAUAUAUUGGAUUUCCUCUCCUGUUCAAUUGGAAUUCAAGGACUUAAUCCACUUUUAAUUACACUGUUCCUGUUGUUGCAUCAAAAGGGGAUGAGGGCCAAAGAAAGGAGGAGAAGAGCUCUCAGAAUUUCCAAUUAGCACAUUUAAGCAGUGAAAAUGUAUCAGACCUGACCAGAAUACAAUACAUUGUAUGAUUAGGACCACAAUUCCAAUUAGUGGCAGAUACAAAAGCUCAGCUCUCAAUGUGAAAACCAACCAGAAAGGGUGGGCUCAAGAGGAUAAUUUUCUUGGUUGAAGAAGAGACUCAGGCUACGUUUCAUCACAUAUUUGAGUGCGCAAACUUGAAAUCUCUGUUACAAAUGUUUUAAACAGUGACUG
Long non-coding RNA from Homo sapiens (human), 659 nucleotides. Ensembl annotates it as PDE7B antisense RNA 1. Its record names the gene PDE7B-AS1. The record is from Ensembl. Lineage: Eukaryota; Metazoa; Chordata; Mammalia; Primates; Hominidae.